This 305-nucleotide ribosomal RNA is filed under the name uncultured eukaryote. RNAcentral's name for it is "SSU rRNA". It matches the Rfam family "Eukaryotic small subunit ribosomal RNA", at positions 111 to 414 of the family's 1831-position model. The record is from RNAcentral.
UAUGGCUUAUUAGAUCGUGCGUUCUACGUGGAUAACUGUGGUAAUUCUAGAGCUAAUACAUGCAACUGGCCCUAACUUUACGGAGGGGCGCUUUUAUUAGAUCAAAAUCAAUCAGGUUUCGGCCUGUUUUUGUGAUGACUCUGGAUAACUUUGUGCCGACCGCAUGGCCUUGCGCCGGCGGCGUAUCUUUCAAAUGUCUGCCCUAUCAACUUUCGAUGGUAGGUGACAUGCCUACCAUGGUUGUAACGGGUAACGGAGAAUCAGGGUUCGAUUCCGGAGAGAGAGCCUGAGAAACGGCUACCACA